AUGAACGCUAGCGACAGGCUUAACACAUGCAAGUCGAGGGGCAGCGGGGGUAGCAAUACCCGCCGGCGACCGGCGCACGGGUGAGUAACGCGUAUGCAACUUACCUAUCAGAGGGGGAUAACCCGGCGAAAGUCGGACUAAUACCGCAUGAAGCAGGGAUCCCGCAUGGGAAUAUUUGCUAAAGAUUCAUCGCUGAUAGAUAGGCAUGCGUUCCAUUAGGCAGUUGGCGGGGUAACGGCCCACCAAACCGACGAUGGAUAGGGGUUCUGAGAGGAAGGUCCCCCACAUUGGUACUGAGACACGGACCAAACUCCUACGGGAGGCAGCAGUGAGGAAUAUUGGUCAAUGGCCGAGAGGCUGAACCAGCCAAGUCGCGUGAGGGAUGAAGGUUCUAUGGAUCGUAAACCUCUUUUAUAAGGGAAUAAAGUGCGGGACGUGUCCCGUUUUGUAUGUACCUUAUGAAUAAGGAUCGGCUAACUCCGUGCCAGCAGCCGCGGUAAUACGGAGGAUCCGAGCGUUAUCCGGAUUUAUUGGGUUUAAAGGGUGCGUAGGCGGCCUUUUAAGUCAGCGGUGAAAGUCUGUGGCUCAACCAUAGAAUUGCCGUUGAAACUGGGGGGCUUGAGUAUGUUUGAGGCAGGCGGAAUGCGUGGUGUAGCGGUGAAAUGCAUAGAUAUCACGCAGAACCCCGAUUGCGAAGGCAGCCUGCCAAGCCAUGACUGACGCUGAUGCACGAAAGCGUGGGGAUCAAACAGGAUUAGAUACCCUGGUAGUCCACGCAGUAAACGAUGAUCACUAGCUGUUUGCGAUACACUGUAAGCGGCACAGCGAAAGCGUUAAGUAAUCCACCUGGGGAGUACGCCGGCAACGGUGAAACUCAAAGGAAUUGACGGGGGCCCGCACAAGCGGAGGAACAUGUGGUUUAAUUCGAUGAUACGCGAGGAACCUUACCCGGGUUUGAACGCAUUCGGACCGAGGUGGAAACACCUUUUCUAGCAAUAGCCGUUUGCGAGGUGCUGCAUGGUUGUCGUCAGCUCGUGCCGUGAGGUGUCGGCUUAAGUGCCAUAACGAGCGCAACCCUUGCCACUAGUUACUAACAGGUAAAGCUGAGGACUCUGGUGGGACUGCCAGCGUAAGCUGCGAGGAAGGCGGGGAUGACGUCAAAUCAGCACGGCCCUUACAUCCGGGGCGACACACGUGUUACAAUGGCGUGGACAAAGGGAAGCCACCUGGCGACAGGGAGCGAAUCCCCAAACCACGUCUCAGUUCGGAUCGGAGUCUGCAACCCGACUCCGUGAAGCUGGAUUCGCUAGUAAUCGCGCAUCAGCCAUGGCGCGGUGAAUACGUUCCCGGGCCUUGUACACACCGCCCGUCAAGCCAUGGGAGCCGGGGGUACCUGAAGUCCGUAACCGCGAGGAUCGGCCUAGGGUA
Molecule: ribosomal RNA, 1428 nt
Filed under: uncultured organism
Description: SSU rRNA
Rfam family: Bacterial small subunit ribosomal RNA
Source: RNAcentral